UGCUGGUACUUGUAGAGACUC
Molecule: microRNA, 21 nt
Filed under: Callorhinchus milii (elephant shark)
Lineage: Eukaryota; Metazoa; Chordata; Chondrichthyes; Chimaeriformes; Callorhinchidae
Description: eshark_NOVEL_63
Source: RNAcentral